This 278-nucleotide long non-coding RNA is filed under the name Elaeis guineensis (African oil palm). RNAcentral's name for it is "long non-coding RNA (EGUI_LNC070029)". Lineage: Eukaryota; Viridiplantae; Streptophyta; Magnoliopsida; Arecales; Arecaceae. The record is from RNAcentral.
CUGACGAAAUGAGUCACGAACUGGUGACUCAUCUGGUCAAAGGAGAAGAUUGUACCCGGCUUCAGCACCGAGUACCAGUUCCUUGCUGCUCCCUUCAAGGUAGAUGGGAAAGCUCGACACAAGAUGGCGUUUGGCACGCCAUGGAGUAGCAUCAUGGUUCGGAAGGCCUCCAGGUGGUCGAUCGGGUCCGAGGUCCCAUCGUAGCUCUCGAAUUGGGGGAGCUUGAAGUUCGGCAGGAUUGGUUCCUGCAUGAUCAUUUGAGAGAAAGGAGGGUCAGU